Molecule: long non-coding RNA, 266 nt
Filed under: Setaria viridis
Lineage: Eukaryota; Viridiplantae; Streptophyta; Magnoliopsida; Poales; Poaceae
Description: long non-coding RNA (SVIR_LNC004773)
Source: RNAcentral
GGAUGGAGACGGUGUCCGUCAAGUCAAGCUGGAGGCUUGGCGGAGGCCGAACACGCAUCGACAUCGGAAAGGUUGCGUGGUGGCAAAGCGAAGAUGGACGGUUUGGGCCUCAAAUCCACUAUGCAGGCAGGUUUUCCGGUUUGGGCUUCAAAACUGGGGGCGAGCCCAGUGCGAUCGGAGCUUCGAGAAGGAGGGCACAUGGCAUCAUCGUGAAGCUUGCGUCGAGGCGAAACAAAGUCGUGAAGGUGGCGUGUUCGUCCGAUGAG